AUCAACGCUGGCGGCGUGCCUCAGACAUGCAAGUCGAACGAUUAAAGCUCUCUUCGGAGAGUGUAUAGAGUGGCGCACGGGUGAGUAACACGUAAGUAAUCUACCUUCGAGUGGGAAGUAACGUCCGGAACGGACGCUAAUACCGCAUAAUGCAGCGGCAUCGCAAGAUGACAGUUGUUAAAGAUUAUUCGCUUGAAGAGGAGCUUGCGGCAGA
This 214-nucleotide ribosomal RNA is filed under the name uncultured bacterium. RNAcentral describes it as "partial 16S ribosomal RNA". It matches the Rfam family "Bacterial small subunit ribosomal RNA", at positions 32 to 240 of the family's 1533-position model. The record is from RNAcentral.